AACGCACAUCGCGCCCUUUGGCAUUCCGAGGGGCAUGCCUGUUCGAGCGUCAUUACACCACUCAAGCCCGGCUUGGUAUUGGGCGGCGGGGCUCCCCCGCGCCUUAAUUUCACCGGCUGGACAACCCGUAUCUCAGCGUUGUGGCAUCAAAUUCGCUGGCGAGAAGGGUGGCCCGUGCCGUUAAAAUUUCCAUCAAGGUUGACCUCGGAUCAGGUAGGGAUACCCGCUGAACUUAA
This 236-nucleotide unclassified non-coding RNA is filed under the name uncultured Ascomycota. RNAcentral's name for it is "sequence contains ITS2". Lineage: Eukaryota; Fungi; Ascomycota. The record is from RNAcentral.